RNAcentral lists this ribosomal RNA (432 nucleotides) under uncultured bacterium. Its description in RNAcentral is "partial 16S ribosomal RNA". It matches the Rfam family "Bacterial small subunit ribosomal RNA", at positions 29 to 507 of the family's 1533-position model. The record is from RNAcentral.
ACGAACGCUGGCGGCCUGCCUAACACAUGCAAGUCGAACGAGACCUUCGGGUCUAGUGGCGCACGGGUGCGUAACGCGUGGGAACCUGCCCUUAGGUUCGGAAUAACUCCCCGCAAGGGGUGCUAAUACCGGAUAAUGUCUUCGGACCAAAGAUUUAUCGCCUUUGGAUGGGCCCGCGUUGGAUUAGCUAGUUGGUAGGGUAAAAGCCUACCAAGGCGACGAUCCAUAGCUGGUCUGAGAGGAUGAUCAGCCACACUGGGACUGAGACACGGCCCAGACUCCUACGGGAGGCAGCAGUAUAGAAUAUUGGACAAUGGGCGAAAGCCUGAUCCAGCAAUGCCGCGUGAGUGAUGAAGGCCUUAGGGUUGUAAAGCUCUUUUACCCGGGAUGAUAAUGACAGUACCGGGAGAAUAAGCUCCGGCUAACUCCGUG